Molecule: long non-coding RNA, 350 nt
Filed under: Calidris pugnax (ruff)
Lineage: Eukaryota; Metazoa; Chordata; Aves; Charadriiformes; Scolopacidae
Description: lncRNA (ENSCPUG00000016503.1)
Source: RNAcentral
GCCAGCACCUCUGGAGUCUGUCUGGCAGAGAAGCAAGAGGCUCAGCGUGUCGGUCUGUAAGUGAUGGUUUCCAGGGCUCUGCUCUCCCCGGGAGCCGCGGAUGCUGACCUGUAAGGUCCCCAGCUCCUAUAAUCGAAAGCCAAAACACGGGCAGAAGCACAGCUGGGGACAAUCCUACGCUGUCACUCCUGAGCAGAUCACUGGGCAGACAGACCUAAAAGAUGCAAAUUUGACAUUUUCUGUUGGAAGAUCUCUGGUUCUGCUGUCACUGACACAUUAGCAAGGAAACCCUGGGGUAGGGCAAGGUCUGACCAGGAGCUGUAUGUGAUGCAUCAAACAAAACUCUGUGC